UGGGGAAUAUUGGACAAUGGGCGGAAGCCUGAUCCAGCCAUGCCGCGUGUGUGAAGAAGGCCUUUUGGUUGUAAAGCACUUUAAGCGAGGAGGAGGCUACUUGGAUUAAUACUCUAGGAUAGUGGACGUUACUCGCAGAAUAAGCACCGGCUAACUCUGUGCCAGCAGCCGCGGUAAUACAGAGGGUGCGAGCGUUAAUCGGAUUUACUGGGCGUAAAGCGUGCGUAGGCGGCUUCUUAAGUCGGAUGUGAAAUCCCUGAGCUUAACUUAGGAAUUGUAUUCGAUACUGGGAAGCUAGAGUAUGGGAGAGGAUGGUAGAAUUCCAGGUGUAGCGGUGAAAUGCGUAGAGAUCUGGAGGAAUACCGAUGGCGAAGGCAGCCAUCUGGCCUAAUACUGACGCUGAGGUACGAAAGCAUGGGGAGCAAACAGG
This 430-nucleotide ribosomal RNA is filed under the name bacterium. RNAcentral describes it as "partial 16S ribosomal RNA". It matches the Rfam family "Bacterial small subunit ribosomal RNA", at positions 355 to 776 of the family's 1533-position model. The record is from RNAcentral.